CUUCUAACUUCUUCAACUUAAACUGAUCAAAAUUGCAGCCAUUUGGCAAAUAUAUUUUAGUCUUCUGACCAAAGCAUUAUGAUGGGAAAAGGCUGCUGUGAGGUGGACUCUGUGGGCAGAGAUAUUACCCACUUAAAGCAGAGACUGGGGGCACAGCAAAAAGGUUUGCCAUAAAGGCCAACAUGCUUCAAACAAAGCAAAAGCUGCCAUGGAAUUAUCCCCCCAUGAAUUAAGUUAUUAAUUAUCAAGCAAAUAAUUUAGGAUCCCAUUGGGAACUUUCUGAGAAAACACUGCUUUAAGUAUGAGUCAUAAAAGCCUUUUGUAUAUCUCACACUUGAUUCAUAUUUAAAUGUGUUUCUUAUGGCAGCAGAAUAACAAUAAAAAAUGCAGAGAUUCCCUUUACUGCUAGUUAACUGAGUUUGGAAAGAUAACGAAUAACCCACAUGGAGAAAAUUAUUUUGCUGCUAGACACAACCAUCCCAGGAAGAACUGCAAACCCCACCGAGGGUACACGUCUCCACUUCUAAUUUAACAGGUAGGGUAAAGAUAUCUUCCCCUAAAACUGCUUCUGCAUUAUGCACUAAAACGUCCUGCUUUGUUAUCAGGAAGUUACUAGGGCAAUUUAAGGUUCACUGUUGGCACAGGAUAAUAUCUGUGUCUCCAGGAUGCCCUGAAUCAGGACAUUUUCUUCAGUAUCUUAAGGCAUGGAGUCACGGUUUUUCAUUGUAAGAAUAAUUGGGUGUACCAAUAAAUCUCAGCAGUUGUAUUUUAUCUUUGUCUGCUCAAAUGUUUCUCACUAGAUGCAGCGAUAAACCUUUAGUUCAUGGUGAUGUUGUUCAUACCCGUGACCCACUCCAUUGUGAACGCAUAGCUGAGAAGGCAAUUUCCAUGGCAGUAUCUCAGUUCUGGUUGGAAUGACAAGUCAUUGGAGCUUCUUCAGCUGUAUCUGUAGUCCUGUGUGGAAGUGGCAAGUGCUUGUUAUCUCCCACAAUACAGCUUCCUAAAGGAAAGCCUGAACGCAGCAUUUUAAUAUCAUUAACACAGCAGGGUCUUUCCAGAGGGCAGCCACGUGCUCUAAGUGCUGCUCUAAGGUGGGACCACCUGCAAAAACAGAUCCUUGUAAAGACCUCUUCAGCAAAUUACACUGGCAUUAAAAGGUCCAUUCUGAAGCAUUAAUACCUGAUGAAGAGAAGAGAGGGAAUGAGUCAGUAUUAGACAGGAAGUCGUGGGAACUUGUGUCAUAAUGGCAUACAAUAUACCUUCUUUUCCAUAACAAUCUAUGUUAAUCUGCAUGGUAAAGAGACUUCAGGUCGAGGAAUCUGUAUGUUUUAAAAUACCAUCACCUGCCAACAGCAACCAUAGCAGUGCCCUCGUAGUGAAGUUUCAAACAGCAAAAGAAGCACGCACACACAGGACACAUUUAAUCCUGCUUCUUUGGAGUCAGCAGUUAAAUAAGCAGCUUGUUCACAACACUGGUUGUGAUUUGUUAGUUACGAAGCUCCCAGCUGGAAAAAACUGCAGUCGCUGCACAGUGUAGCAGGAAGCUUUGAGAUGGAGAUUUGCAUGUUGUAACACUGGGAUGAUUCUGACAUCUGGGAUGUCAGAAUGACCACCCGGCUACUGCUGCGUCCCUUUUGACACCUGUUGUGCUGUGACACAUCAGAAGAUGCUGCAGAGAAACAGUCAAUAGCACCGGACAAAAAAGGUACACAGAAAAAAAUGUAAAGGUAAACAUACCAAAAAAGGCAAAAUAUGUGUAGGCAAAUCCUCCUUUUACUUACUGUCACAACAUUUGGUUGCAUCUUUAAUGUGCAGUGUUGCACUAUUCUGAUUGCAGGUCUCCAGGGGCCACACUUCACUGCUUUUUGUCUCAGAUCACAUCUCUGCAGUUUGGGAGGAAGGAAGGGAACUGCUGAGUCUGACUGAAGCCCAGACCGCAGCUGGCUGCUCCUACUGUGUUGUGGGGACACUUAAAUGCCAACUUAGAAAGCUGAACAAGUUUACACGUAAGCAACUGUAACACAUUUGUAUGUGAACGAGGCCAAGUUCUCAGAGGGCUGUUUGCAAAACCAGAUCUCAGCCACAUCAGAAGUUUUACCACUAACUAAAUCAGCGCUAUUAAAAAGGGCACAGCUACCAAGUGUGUGCCAGACAAACACAGUGCUUCUGUUUGUACUACUUAUUCCUGUAGGGGGAAGGGAGGAAGUUAAAAAAACUGUACCAAUUUUUAAUAUAUAACAUACUCUACAGGUAAAACUUAUAUCACAACUCAGUGGAGAGCACGGAAAACACUUAAGAUCUCUUUGCAAAGUUGUCUUUGUUGCAUUGUUAUUAAGAGCAUGUUAAAAUGAGGACCAAUAUUUUUACAUAAUAAUAUGUUUUUUACAUGAAAGCAUGUUUUCAAAUGUCACUUGUUAUGGAAAUAUUGUCUACAUGUCACCUUAAGAAAUAGCCACAGAAAAAUAAGUUUCCUGAAGGGCGCUCAUGUAGCUGUAUAGCUAACAAAGCCUUCCCUAAUGGAACAGUAGUAG
This is a non-coding RNA of Phasianus colchicus (ring-necked pheasant), 2531 nucleotides long. The record is from RefSeq and is a predicted model, not a curated record. Lineage: Eukaryota; Metazoa; Chordata; Aves; Galliformes; Phasianidae.